This 113-nucleotide Y RNA is filed under the name Carlito syrichta (Philippine tarsier). RNAcentral's name for it is "Y RNA (ENSTSYG00000028464.1)". It matches the Rfam family "Y RNA". Rfam says of the family: Y RNAs are components of the Ro ribonucleoprotein particle (Ro RNP), in association with Ro60 and La proteins. The Y RNAs and Ro60 and La proteins are well conserved, but the function of the Ro RNP is not known. In humans the RNA component can be one of four small RNAs -- hY1, hY3, hY4 and hY5. The record is from Rfam by way of RNAcentral. Lineage: Eukaryota; Metazoa; Chordata; Mammalia; Primates; Tarsiidae.
GGCUAGUUCAAAUGUGGUGAGUUAUCUCAAUUGAUUGUUCAUAGUCAGUUACACAUCAAACUCCUUGUCCUACUCUUUACCCUCUUCUCAUUAAUGCAAUUGAUUUGUCUUAA